This 431-nucleotide ribosomal RNA is filed under the name uncultured bacterium. RNAcentral describes it as "partial 16S ribosomal RNA". It matches the Rfam family "Bacterial small subunit ribosomal RNA", at positions 29 to 507 of the family's 1533-position model. The record is from RNAcentral.
AACGAACGCUGGCGGCAGGCCUAACACAUGCAAGUCGAGCGCCCCGCAAGGGGAGCGGCGGACGGGUGAGUAACGCGUGGGAAUAUGCCCUUUGCUACGGAAUAGUCUCGGGAAACUGGGGGUAAUACCGUAUACGCCCUUUGGGGGAAAGAUUUAUCGGCGAAGGAUUAGCCCGCGUUGGAUUAGGUAGUUGGUGGGGUAAUGGCCUACCAAGCCGACGAUCCAUAGCUGGUUUGAGAGGAUGAUCAGCCACACUGGGACUGAGACACGGCCCAGACUCCUACGGGAGGCAGCAGUGGGGAAUCGUAGACAAUGGGGGCAACCCUGAUCUAGCCAUGCCGCGUGAGUGAUGAAGGCCUUAGGGUUGUAAAGCUCUUUCAGCUGGGAAGAUAAUGACGGUACCAGCAGAAGAAGCCCCGGCUAACUCCGUG